AGGACAAAUCCAAGUCCAUUGCAUCCAAGAACAAUCUCGGCAGAUUCCUUCCAUGACUUGAAGUUCAUCCCAGUCAGCAUAGGGAUAAUAUUGAUUUGAGCAGCGAAAUUGGGAGCGGUGACAACAACAACUAAAAGAAGAGAACAACAAGCAUACACUAACAUUUGUGAGCAUCUCAACAUACAAUAAUAGAGACAUGCACAAAAAUCUAUACAUGUAAAUUAAAUAAAAACAAACAAGAUAUUUAACGCACCAUUAAUUUCCAAUCUUUGGACUGUAAAAAAUUAACUCUUAGCGCAAUGAUCAAAUACUGACAAUAAUUCCGGUCACUUUGGGGCACCCCAUUAUUCACAUGGAUAUAACUUUUAUAAUCGACACAUUUACCAUCACAAGUG
Molecule: long non-coding RNA, 395 nt
Filed under: Medicago truncatula (barrel medic)
Lineage: Eukaryota; Viridiplantae; Streptophyta; Magnoliopsida; Fabales; Fabaceae
Description: long non-coding RNA (MTRU_LNC003270)
Source: RNAcentral